GGGCCCGCACAAGCGGUGGAGCAUGUGGUUUAAUUCGAUGCAACGCGAAGAACCUUACCUACUCUUGACAUCCUCAGAAGCUUGUAGAGAUACGAGUGUGCCUUCGGGAACUGAGAGACAGGUGCUGCAUGGCUGUCGUCAGCUCGUGUUGUGAAAUGUUGGGUUAAGUCCCGCAACGAGCGCAACCCUUAUCCUUGUUUGCCAGCACUUCGGGUGGGAACUCCAGGGAGACUGCCGGUGAUAAACCGGAGGAAGGUGGGGACGACGUCAAGUCAUCAUGGCCCUUACGAGUAGGGCUACACACGUGCUACAAUGGCGCAUACAGAGGGCAGCCAACUUGCGAAAGUGAGCGAAUCCCAAAAAGUGCGUCGUAGUCCGGAUUGGAGUCUGCAACUCGACUCCAUGAAGUCGGAAUCGCUAGUAAUCG
Molecule: ribosomal RNA, 427 nt
Filed under: uncultured bacterium
Lineage: Bacteria
Description: bacterial SSU rRNA
Rfam family: Bacterial small subunit ribosomal RNA
Source: RNAcentral